CUCAGGAUGAACGCUGGCGGCGUGCUUAACACAUGCAAGUCGAACGGAGUUAUGGAGAGAGAGUGAGGUGCUUGCACCAAGUGACCAUUUCAUAACUUAGUGGCGGACGGGUGAGUAACGCGUGGGUAACCUGCCAUAUACAGGGGGAUAACACUUAGGAAUAGGUGCUAAAACCGCAUAAGCGCACAGCUUCGCAUGAAGCAGUGUGAAAAACUCCGGUGGUAUAUGAUGGACCCGCGUCUGAUAAGCCAGUUGGCAGGGUAACGGCCUACCAAAGCGACGAUCAGUAGCCGGCCUGAGAGGGUGAACGGCCACAUUGGGACUGAGACACGGCCCAAACUCCUACGGGAGGCAGCAGUGGGGAAUAUUGCACAAUGGGGGAAACCCUGAUGCAGCGACGCCGCGUGAGUGAAGAAGUAUUUCGGUAUGUAAAGCUCUAUCAGCAGGGAAGAAAAUGACGGUACCUGAGUAAGAAGCCCCGGCUAACUACGUGCCAGCAGCCGCGGUAAUACGUAGGGGGCAAGCGUUAUCCGGAUUUACUGGGUGUAAAGGGAGCGUAGACGGCGAGACAAGUCUGAAGUGAAAACCCGGGGCUCAACCCUGGGACUGCUUUGGAAACUGCCUGGCUGGAGUGCAGGAGAGGUAAGUGGAAUUCCUAGUGUAGCGGUGAAAUGCGUAGAUAUUAGGAGGAACACCAGUGGCGAAGGCGGCUUACUGGACUGUAACUGACGUUGAGGCUCGAAAGCGUGGGGAGCAAACAGGAUUAGAUACCGUGGUAGUCCACGCCGUAAACGAUGAUCACUAGGUGUUGGGGGCCUACAGGCCUUCGGUGCCGUCGCAAACGCAAUAGGUGAUCCACCUGGGGAGUACGUUCGCAAGAAUGCAACUCAAAAG
Molecule: ribosomal RNA, 894 nt
Filed under: uncultured Bacillota bacterium
Lineage: Bacteria; Bacillati; Bacillota
Description: bacterial SSU rRNA
Rfam family: Bacterial small subunit ribosomal RNA
Source: RNAcentral